RNAcentral lists this ribosomal RNA (460 nucleotides) under uncultured bacterium. Its description in RNAcentral is "partial 16S ribosomal RNA". It matches the Rfam family "Bacterial small subunit ribosomal RNA", at positions 338 to 795 of the family's 1533-position model. The record is from RNAcentral.
CCUACGGGAUGCUGCAGUGAGGAAUAUUGGUCAAUGGACGAGAGUCUGAACCAGCCAAGUAGCGUGAAGGAUGACUGCCCUAUGGGUUGUAAACUUCUUUUAUAAAGGAAUAAAACGAGGCACGUGUGCCUUUUUGCAUGUACUUUAUGAAUAAGGAUCGGCUAACUCCGUGCCAGCAGCCGCGGUAAUACGGAGGAUCCGAGCGUUAUCCUGAUUGAUUGGGUUUAACGGGAGCGUAGAUGGGUUGUUAAGUCAGUUGUGAAAGUUUGCGGCACAACCGUAAAAUUGCAAUUGAUACUGGCAGUCUUGAGUACAGUUGAGGUAGGCGGAAUUCGUGGUGUAGCGGUGAAAUGCUUAGAUAUCACGAAGAACCCUGAUUGCGAAGGCAGCUUACUAAACUGUGACUGACAUUGAUGCUCGAAAGUGUGGGUAUCAAACAGGAUUAGAUACCCGUGUAGUC